Molecule: ribosomal RNA, 253 nt
Filed under: uncultured bacterium
Lineage: Bacteria
Description: partial 16S ribosomal RNA
Rfam family: Bacterial small subunit ribosomal RNA
Source: RNAcentral
UACGGGGGGGGCAAGUGUUGUUCGGAAUUACUGGGCGUAAAGGGCUCGUAGGCGGCCAACUAAGUCGGACGUGAAAUCCCUCGGCUUAACCGGGGAACUGCGUCCGAUACUGGAUGGCUUGAGUUCGGGAGAGGGAUGCGGAAUUCCAGGUGUAGCGGUGAAAUGCGUAGAUAUCUGGAGGAACACCGGUGGCGAAGGCGGCAUCCUGGACCGACACUGACACUGAGGAGCGAAAGCCAGGGGAGCAAACGGG